GUCUGCGGCUUAAUUCGACUCAACACGGGGAAACUCACCAUGGUCAGGACACAAGUUUGAUUGACAGGUUAAUAGCCCUUUCUUGAUUGUGUGGUGGGUAGUGCAUGGCCGUUUCCAGUUCGUGGAGUGAUCUGUCUUGUUAAUUCAGAUAACGAACGAGACCUAAGCCUUUAACUAGCCGUAGGCCUUUUCCUUCGGGGAAGGGUUAGUUUGUCGGAACAGGUUUCGGCCUGUUCCAAAACCUACGAGACUUUUGUCAGCUUCUUAAAGGGACUUCAUUCGUAAACUAGGAUGAGGAAGAUUUAGGCCAUAACAGGUCUGUGAUGCUCUUAGAUGUCCUGGGCUGCACGCGUACUACAAUAACGGUACCAGCGAGCGCUAUGGUUUUAUAACCCCUUAUCCUAAUAGGAUUGGGAAAACUUUUCAAACACCGUUAUGACAGGGAUCGAGGAUUGGAACAUCCUCGUGAACGAGGAAUUCCUAGUAAGCGUGGUUCAUCAUACCACAUUGAUUACGUCCCUGCCUUUUGUACACACCGCCCGUCGCUCCUACCGAUGGGACGAAGAGAUGAACCUGGCGGACCGAACCGCAAGGUAAGGGAAACCAGUU
RNAcentral lists this ribosomal RNA (609 nucleotides) under Naegleria sp. 543. Its description in RNAcentral is "SSU rRNA". It matches the Rfam family "Eukaryotic small subunit ribosomal RNA", at positions 1181 to 1760 of the family's 1831-position model. The record is from RNAcentral. Lineage: Eukaryota; Heterolobosea; Eutetramitea; Acrasida; Naegleriidae.